AGAGUUUGAUCAUGGCUCAGGAUGAACGCUGGCGGCGUGCCUAAUACAUGCAAGUCGAACGAGGUGCCUUUGUAGCAAUACGAGGGUAUCCAAGUGGCGAACGGGUGAGUAACGCGUUGGUGACCUACCCCGGAGUGUGGGAUAACAGUCCGAAAGGACUGCUAAUACCGCAUGCGGUCAUCGGGUUUAGAAGCCGAUGUCCAAAGCAGCAAUGCGCUCUGGGAGGGACCUGCGUCCCAUCAGCUAGUUGGUAGGGUAACGGCCUACCAAGGCGACGACGGGUAGGGGACCUGAGAGGGUGACCCCCCACAAUGGAACUGAAAUACGGUCCAUACACCUACGGGUGGCAGCAGUAGGGAAUGUUGCACAAUGGGCGAAAGCCUGAUGCAGCAACGCCGCGUGCACGAUGAAGGUCUUCGGAUCGUAAAGUGCUUUUCUGGGAGAUGAGAAAGGACAGUAUCCCAGGAAUAAGUCUCGGCUAACUACGUGCCAGCAGCCGCGGUAAUUCA
RNAcentral lists this ribosomal RNA (509 nucleotides) under uncultured Bellilinea sp. RNAcentral describes it as "bacterial SSU rRNA". It matches the Rfam family "Bacterial small subunit ribosomal RNA", at positions 8 to 527 of the family's 1533-position model. The record is from RNAcentral. Lineage: Bacteria; Bacillati; Chloroflexota; Anaerolineae; Anaerolineales; Anaerolineaceae.